This 399-nucleotide ribosomal RNA is filed under the name uncultured bacterium. Its description in RNAcentral is "bacterial SSU rRNA". It matches the Rfam family "Bacterial small subunit ribosomal RNA", at positions 28 to 423 of the family's 1533-position model. The record is from RNAcentral.
GACGAACGCUGGCGGCGUGCUUAACACAUGCAAGUCGAACGGAAAGGCCCUGCUUUUGUGGGGUGCUCGAGUGGCGAACGGGUGAGUAACACGUGAGUAACCUGCCCUUGACUUUGGGAUAACUUCAGGAAACUGGGGCUAAUACCGGAUAGGAGCUCCUGCUGCAAUGGUGGGGGUUGGAAAGUUUCGGCGGUUGGGGAUGGACUCGCGGCUUAUCAGCUUGUUGGUGGGGUAGUGGCUUACCAAGGCUUUGACGGGUAGCCGGCCUGAGAGGGUGACCGGCCACAUUGGGACUGAGAUACGGCCCAGACUCCUACGGGAGGCAGCAGUGGGGAAUAUUGCACAAUGGGCGGAAGCCUGAUGCAGCAACGCCGCGUGCGGGGAUGACGGCCUCGGUGU